RNAcentral lists this unclassified non-coding RNA (3458 nucleotides) under Acyrthosiphon pisum (pea aphid). RNAcentral describes it as "ring canal kelch protein, transcript variant X4". Lineage: Eukaryota; Metazoa; Arthropoda; Insecta; Hemiptera; Aphididae. The record is from RNAcentral.
GUACAAUCUACGGUAGCCGGUCAUCAUUCCGUUCGUGUCACCCCAACCCUACCGCCGUUGUACCGAGCGGUUAGUGUAAUAAUGUUCCGCCGACCACGUCCGAUACUAUACGACGCGACAACAACAACAACAAUAAUAAUAAUAAUAUUUUAUUCGUCGAUGUCGUCUGUGCCCCCUGCCGCCGCGUCCCUGAUAACAGCAUAGAUUACACUCGUAACUCGUCGCGAUAUUGUUGUGCCUUUGUAAGCACGCACAAACUCGCGUAAUCGAAGUGUAACCGUAGACGGUGCAACUGGCCCGAACAAACACAAACAGAAACACACCGACGACCGAUCGAAGAUCCUCCGCUGAUAAUAGAUAAUAAUAUUAUAUUAUUCUGUGAUAUUACACAGUGUGAAGACCACGAAUUAUUAUAUACGUAUGUAGUAUAUUAUCAUAGAACAAUAUUAUAUUCGUGGUGAAGACCGAAGAACGGCGAAUAUCCUCGCGUGACGCCCAUUUUCGAAACAUUGUUAUUGGUCGCUCGGCACACGGUCACUGUUGCCACUCGCCGGACACCACCGAAACCGCCGUGUAGAUAAGAGGUGUUCUGUCGGUGAUAGAAAUGGAUGCCUCACAAAUUUCAUCAUGUGAAAGUGAUCCAAUGAAAGUUCUGACAUCCAAAGAAUAUGAACCAACAAAUUUUAUAAAUAACUCUCACUCCGUUGGAAUACUAGAAGACUUACAAUCUCUACGCAAAAAUGAAGUUUUAUGUGAUAUUAGAUAUGAAGCAGACGAUUGUGAAAUUGUAAUUGGACAUGCAAAUGUUUUAAUAGCAGCUAGCCCAUAUUUCCGGGCAAUGUUAAGUCAUUUCAAUGAGACCAAUAAAGAUUUAUUAUAAGAUAUAUUGAUAUAAGAGAACUAAAUUCCACAAUUUUAAAAUUAUUAGUAGAUUAUAUUUAUACUGGAGAAAUUAUGGUCACAAAAGAAAAUGUAUAGAGAAGUGGUUGAAGGCGAAGAUGUUCUAUCCUUAUCUUCUGAUGAUUUGGUGACUUUUUAUUUUCCUGUAAUGACUUUGCUGAUUCAUUCGAAGAAAAAGUACGAAAACUACAAUAUUGGUAUAUGAAUGUGUCAUUUCAUGGGUAAAUCAUGAAUUGGAUCAGAGAAAAGAUUGUUUGCCAGAACUAAUAGAACAUGUACGUUUGCCAUUAUUAAAGCCUGAUAUAUUAUUUAAUAUAUCUAAAGAAUUUCUUUGAAAAAAUACUUCUAAAUAUAAAGAUUAUGUAUUUUAUGCAUUACAAUUGAAUCUAAAAAAAUCAGUUCAAUAUAUCGCCAUUCCAAAUACAAUUAGGUGUAAAUCUAGACAUGUUAUUCUAAUGUUCAGUCUGUCUAAUACAUCGCCAAUGUGUUAUACAGAUUACACUAUCAAUUACAGAAUGGUAUGACCUAACAACCAAACUAUGAAAAAAUGCACCAGGGAUAAAUGAUUGUCGUCAGACAGCUGGUCUAGAUGUAAUAAGGAAUCAAUUUGUGUUUGUUGUGGGAUGUGUUAAUAAAUCAAGUUCAAAAUCUAUUUGUAUGCUGUAUCUUCUCAAUCACUCUCUAGGUUGCCAAUUGUUGAUAUGUUAAUUAGUUGAACACAAUUAGAAGUUGGUGUAUUGGAUGAUUAUAUAUAUUCAGUUGGUGGCAAAGAUGGUACUAAUAAUUUAAAGACUGCCGAGGUUUUUCAUGUCAGCAUUCAAAAAUCACGAAUGGUGUCUAUAGUAUGACAACUGAGAGAUAUAAUUUGGGUGUUGUGGCGGUGGUAAUAGAAUAGUUUUGAAAACUGUGCAAUAUUAUGAUCCUACACUUGACACAUGAACACCAGUUUCAAAAAUGUUUGUAUGCCGUGAAGUUGUUUGUGUAGGGGUUUUGGAGGAUCUUAUGUAUGCUAUUGGUAGCUGUGAUGGAGAGUAUCUUAAAAGUGUUUAUAGACCAAAUUAUGAAGUUUGGUCUUCUAGUCCUGAUAUGGAGUUAUGCCGAUUUUGUCUUGGAGUAGUGGCACUUGAUGGUGAUGGUAUAUUGUAUGUUAUUGGUGAAGAAACUAAAUAAUCUAUUGUCAAUACUGUAGAAAUUUACGACCCAAUUACCAAUACUUGGACCAUGGAUACAUUGUCAUUUUCAAGACAUGGACUACAAAUUUAUGGUGGAAUAGUCGUUAAUAAACCACCAAGUUAUAACUAAUUAGCUUACAAGAUGAUCUCUUGGUAGUAAUACAAACAUCUUAUUAAUUAUAAAUAGUUAAAACAAAAAAUAUAUAACUUAAAAAAAUAUUUUAAAUAGUCUAUACAUUGCAAAAGUUCUAUACAUUUUUGUUUUUGUUUCAAUGUUUAGUAAAAAUGUUAUUUUAUAAUUUAAAUUGAUUAUUUACAAAUUAAAUAACUGAGGUAUAAAGUAAACUAUAUAGCACUAUUUCAAUUUAUUUCCUAUAAAAUUUUUUUUUGUUAAAGAAAAACAUUAAUAGUGAUUCUAACAUAACAUUUCAAACUCGAAAAUAUGUUGGUGGGUUUUGUCAUAAUUUUUACUUCAGGACCUUAUAAAAAAAUGCCUAUGACUACAACAUUUAGUGAGUUACUAGUUAACAAUAUUGGUUGAAAUAAUAUAAAUUUAUUAUAUUAAUUACAUUGUUAUUGAAUAUGUUUAUAUUUAUUUAUUUUUCUAAAGAUAUAACUAUAGCUUUUAAUAAGUUAUGAGGAAUUUAAAUAAGUCAAGUGGCAUCAUUAGUCGGGCACUCCGUAAUUUAUUGUCUAUCUUAUACAGUUAUAAAUGUAAAAGUUCCUCUCUUCACACAAUAAUUUACUUAACUGUAAAGUAUAGUUUUGAAUGUUUGUUGUUUGGGUGAUGUGUUUUACCUUUUAUGCACCAAAGACUGGUAGAACUAGAAUUUGUCGACGUCGACUUACCCACUUUUUUAAUGAUUUAUUUCUAUAAUUUUUACAAGGAAAGUACUUUAAAAUAAUGUUAAUUAUAUUAUAUUACAUAAUUAUGAUUUUUUUUUUCUAUUGUUUAAUAGGACAUUACACCAACCUUCGGUGUCUCCGUCUUUAAAGUGCGUAAAAUAGCAAAUUUUGGUCUCAGAAAAUCAGGUUUAGCUCCGUUAGUUUAAAAAUUAGAGUGAAUUGACUUCUUAUAAAAUUUAAAGGGGAUAUUAUUAUCUAGGGCAUCUCAUAGGUUUUUUCUUAUAUCCCGCUUGGAUCCGCGCCUGCCAACCCUACCAACCUACAGUCUAAUGCAUGCUAAUGACCUCGGUCAUCAAAGUCUUAAACCUAAUAAAAAAAAAUUUAGAUAAUGAUAAUUAUAUUUUUUGAAACCUCGUAAAAGCUAUAACAUAAUGAAGAACUGCAUAUUGAUGCAAACCUAAUGGUUACUGCUAUUUUUUAUAAAUUUCAAAUGUACUAUACUAAUGUCAGAAUGUCAAUAAAAUUGUUUCGGCAUUGGAA